AAUUCUCAACUGCUCCGAGCUUUGUUGUUCGGGGUGAAGUUGGACUUGGAGGUCUUUGCUGGCGUGGGCUUCGGCUCACUUGUCGGCUCCUCUUGAAUGCAUGAGCUUUCCAGUGGAUCUUGGCAAAGUAUCGUCGAUGUGAUAAUUAUCUACGUCGGUCGAGAAAGCCUCGAGCAGGGCUCUUAGGAGCUCCUACGGGAAAUCUUUCAUAUACAUCGGGCUUCAAACACCCGUGUCUGACAA
RNAcentral lists this unclassified non-coding RNA (243 nucleotides) under uncultured Tomentellopsis. RNAcentral describes it as "sequence contains ITS2". Lineage: Eukaryota; Fungi; Basidiomycota; Agaricomycetes; Thelephorales; Thelephoraceae. The record is from RNAcentral.